GCGUGGAUGAUGAAGGUCUUAGGAUUGUAAAAUCCUUUCAGCGGGGACGAUAAUGACGGUACCCGCAGAAGAAGCCCCGGCUAACUUCGUGCCAGCAGCCGCGGUAAUACGAAGGGGGCUAGCGUUGCUCGGAAUUACUGGGCGUAAAGGGAGCGUAGGCGGAUCGUUUAGUCAGGGGUGAAAUCCCGGGGCUCAACCUCGGAACUGCCUUUGAUACUGGCGAUCUUGAGUAUGGGAGAGGUGUGUGGAACUCCGAGUGUAGAGGUGAAAUUCGU
Molecule: ribosomal RNA, 275 nt
Filed under: uncultured bacterium
Lineage: Bacteria
Description: partial 16S ribosomal RNA
Rfam family: Bacterial small subunit ribosomal RNA
Source: RNAcentral